GUGAAGCUGGAUUCGCUAGUAAUCGCGCAUCAGCCAUGGCGCGGUGAAUACGUUCCCGGGCCUUGUACACACCGCCCGUCAAGCCAUGGGAGCCGGGGGUGCUUGAAGUGCGUCGCCGCGAGGCGCGCCCUAGAGCAAAACCGGUGACUGGGGCUAAGUCGUAACAAGGUAGC
This 173-nucleotide ribosomal RNA is filed under the name uncultured bacterium. Its description in RNAcentral is "partial 16S ribosomal RNA". It matches the Rfam family "Bacterial small subunit ribosomal RNA", at positions 1320 to 1500 of the family's 1533-position model. The record is from RNAcentral.